CCAGAAAAUACAGUUAGCCAUGGCUGGUAUUGUAACUGCCACUCAAUCUUUCAUCACCGCCCCGCCUCGACUACUCUGCCGCCGGCAGCCGCAGAUAAUCAAGCAUAACCUUUUCUCUUUUCUUUCCUUCUCGAAAAUGGGGUUUGAUUCCUUGCAGAAAAGCUUUAAUUUUCCAGUAAGAAAACUAGUGAUUAGAGCAGCUAGAGCCGAGUCCAAAGGCGUCUCUCUUGGUUUCAGAGCACCCCAUUUUGAGCUUCCGGAGCCGCUUACGGGUAAAAUGUGGAAACUGGAGGACUUUGAACCGUUUCCUGCAUUAUUGGUUAUGUUCAUUUGCAAUCACUGCCCCUUUGUUAAACACUUGAAAAAGGAUAUUGUAAAGCUCUCGAAUUUCUACGUGAAGAAAGGGCUUGCAGUAGUAGCGAUAUCAUCAAAUUCUACAGUUACUCAUCCGCAGGAUGGACCUGAAUUUAUGGGAGAAGAAGCAAAGCUAUUUAAAUAUCCUUUCCCAUAUCUGUAUGAUGAGACUCAAGAUGUUGCAAAAGAUUUUGGAGCUGUGUGCACACCUGAGUUUUUCCUUUUCCGAAAGGACGGGCGUAGGCCUUUUGAGCUAGUGUACCAUGGCCAGUUUGAUGAUUCACGGCCAAGUAAUGAUGUGCGGGUCACAGGAAGGGACUUAAGCCUUGCAAUAGACUGUGUUCUUAGUGGUCAGCCUGUGUCUUCAGAUCAGAAACCAAGGAUACUAAAUUCCUCUUUACUUUAGCAUUGGGUGCAGUAUAAAGUGGCAUCCCAAGGCACAGCUGUGAUUAUUCCUGCUGGAGUCAGCUUUUAUAAGCUGAGAGUCACAUGCAAGCGAUGCUAUAAGGGAUCUGUUCACACCAUUAGGACCCUUUUGUCUCCAUCACUGUGUAAUUUUUUUUUUUUUUGGGUGCAGAGAGACUUUUUAAGUAGUUGAUGGUGUUGAUGGAGGACUUCAUACUUUAGCAUAAAUUUGUAAAAUUGAUUUCUGAUGUACCCUUUUAAAAGUACCUUAGUUUGUGGUUUUGACAGUCAAAUCAUCCGAUGCAGUGAAGAGUGAGUGUGAGAAAACCACAUUUGUAUGACUCUGCUAUGUUGUACGUGGGCUCUUUAUACUCCUUGCAGGGAAGUGCUUAUCAACCUAAACAUCAGAUGUUAUGCAUCCUUAGCCAUUGAAGCUUGAUAGCUUACUGUGACCUACCAGUGGGACUGAGAAGUUUUGCCAUCACAUGCCGAAAAGCAACGUAUCUUUCAGAAGAUGAAACUGUAUCUCCCUUUAUCUUUAGUGAAAGCAAUGUUGGAAGAAUUGGUAAGGUGUGAUGGUCUAUUUGGUUCCUACUAAUUAUAAGCUCCAUUUGCUUCCUGCCAACCAAGAUUUCGUCCCUUUCGUGUCUAUCCCAGCUCUUCCCCAAAACAACCCAUGGGAUUGAUAGCUACUUCUCCAUUUCUGGGACCCAUUGUAAAGUAUGCAUGUUUAACUUAAUGCAGGCUUGAAAGAUGUUUGUAGCUGCUGAUAGCGACUUCCUUUAUUCUGAAUCAUUGUAUGGAUAUUAUUUCAUUAUCUUAACCUUCUGGUUUUGAAUAA
Molecule: RNA transcript, 1600 nt
Organism: Coffea arabica (coffee)
Lineage: Eukaryota; Viridiplantae; Streptophyta; Magnoliopsida; Gentianales; Rubiaceae
Source: RefSeq, a predicted model, not a curated record